RNAcentral lists this ribosomal RNA (491 nucleotides) under uncultured bacterium. Its description in RNAcentral is "partial 16S ribosomal RNA". It matches the Rfam family "Bacterial small subunit ribosomal RNA", at positions 29 to 507 of the family's 1533-position model. The record is from RNAcentral.
AGUGAACGCUGGCGGUAGGCCUAACACAUGCAAGUGCACUGCAGCACAGUAAGAGCUUGCUCUUACGGGUGGCGAGUGGCGGACGGGUGAGGAAUACAUCGGAAUCUACUUUUUCGUGGGGGAUAACGUAGGGAAACUUACGCUAAUACCGCAUACGACCUACGGGUGAAAGCCGGGGAUCUUCGGACCUUGCGCGAUUGAAUGAGCCGAUGUCGGAUUAGCUAGUUGGCGGGGUAAAGGCCCACCAAGGCGACGAUCCGUAGCUGGUCUGAGAGGAUGAUCAGCCACACUGGAACUGAGACACGGUCCAGACUCCUACGGGAGGCAGCAGUGGGGAAUAUUGGACAAUGGGCGCAAGCCUGAUCCAGCCAUACCGCGUGGGUGAAGAAGGCCUUCGGGUUGUAAAGCCCUUUUGUUGGGAAAGAAAAGCAGCAGGUUAAUACCCCGCUGUUCUGACGGUACCCAAAGAAUAAGCACCGGCUAACUUCGUG